This 433-nucleotide ribosomal RNA is filed under the name uncultured bacterium. RNAcentral describes it as "bacterial SSU rRNA". It matches the Rfam family "Bacterial small subunit ribosomal RNA", at positions 29 to 507 of the family's 1533-position model. The record is from RNAcentral.
AGCGAACGCUGGCGGCAGGCCUAAACACAUGCAAGUCGAACGAGCUCUUCGGAGCUAGUGGCGAACGGGUGCGUAAUACAUAGGAAUCUACCUCUUACUGGGGGAUAACAGCUGGAAACAGCUGCUAAUACCGCAUACUCCAUAUUGGGAAAGCUCAGGCGGUAAGAGAGGAGCCUAUGGCUGAUUAGCUUGUUGGUGAGGUAACGGCUCACCAAGGCAACGAUCAGUAGCUGGUCUGAGAGGAUGAUCAGCCACACUGGGACUGAGACACGGCCCAGACUCCUACGGGAGGCAGCAGUGGGGAAUCUUGCGCAAUGGGGGCAACCCUGACGCAGCCAUGCCGCGUGAAUGAUGAAGGUCUUAGGAUUGUAAAGUUCUUUCGUUGGGGAAGAUAAUGACGGUACCCAAAGAAGAAGUCCCGGCUAACUCCGUG